UGCUCCCUCUCUCACAUCCCUUGCAUGGUGGAGGGUGAAACUUUCUGGAAACCCCUCCCACAUGCAGGGUUUGCAGGAUGGUGAGCC
MicroRNA precursor from Loxodonta africana (African savanna elephant), 87 nucleotides. Ensembl annotates it as microRNA 188. Its record names the gene MIR188. The record is from Ensembl. Lineage: Eukaryota; Metazoa; Chordata; Mammalia; Proboscidea; Elephantidae.